This is a long non-coding RNA of Octopus sinensis (East Asian common octopus), 100 nucleotides long. RefSeq lists it as uncharacterized. Lineage: Eukaryota; Metazoa; Mollusca; Cephalopoda; Octopoda; Octopodidae. The record is from RefSeq and is a predicted model, not a curated record. The transcript has 3 exons.
UUUUGAGAUUUUCUCACUUCAGGUACGUGAUGUUGAUAAGCUGCAAAAAUAGCAAAACAUUGAUGUCCAUGGUUCCUGAAUGGGAUUUGAGGUGAGUUGU